GCAAACUUGGUCAUUUAGAGGAAGUAAAAGUCGUAACAAGGUUUCCGUAGGUGAACCUGCGGAAGGAUCAUUAACAAAUCCAAGUUGGGUCCUGUGGGAUCGGUUGGCUGGUGCAACGCCAGCCGCAACAACCAUUGAUGCCAGUGUGAUGCAUGUGUGUUCCGAGUCAUCUGCGCGUUGCUGGUGCGUGCACACAGCUGCCGGUGGCAGAGAGUGUGCGGCAGCAGCGACAGCAGCAACAACAAACAGACUUUUAACAAUGGAUCUCUUGGCUCUUGCAUCGAUGAAGAACGCAGC
RNAcentral lists this unclassified non-coding RNA (297 nucleotides) under uncultured fungus. RNAcentral's name for it is "partial contains small subunit ribosomal RNA, internal transcribed spacer 1, and 5.8S ribosomal RNA". The stretch from base 1 to 73 matches the Rfam family "Eukaryotic small subunit ribosomal RNA", at positions 1759 to 1831 of the family's 1831-position model. Lineage: Eukaryota; Fungi. The record is from RNAcentral.